This 254-nucleotide ribosomal RNA is filed under the name uncultured bacterium. Its description in RNAcentral is "partial 16S ribosomal RNA". It matches the Rfam family "Bacterial small subunit ribosomal RNA", at positions 524 to 777 of the family's 1533-position model. The record is from RNAcentral.
UACGAAGGGGGCUAGCGUUGCUCGGAAUCACUGGGCGUAAAGGGUGCGUAGGCGGGUCUUUAAGUCAGGGGUGAAAUCCUGGAGCUCAACUCCAGAACUGCCUUUGAUACUGAGUCUUGAGUUCGGGAGAGGUGAGUGGAAUGCCGAGUGUAGAGGUGAAAUUCGUAGAUAUUCGGCGGAACACCAGUGGCGAAGGCGACUCACUGGCCCGAUACUGACGCUGAGGCGCGAAAAGCGUGGGGGAGCAAACAGGG